This 484-nucleotide ribosomal RNA is filed under the name uncultured bacterium. RNAcentral's name for it is "partial 16S ribosomal RNA". It matches the Rfam family "Bacterial small subunit ribosomal RNA", at positions 28 to 506 of the family's 1533-position model. The record is from RNAcentral.
GACGAACGCUGGCGGUGUGCUUAACACAUGCAAGUCGAACGGUAAGGCCCUUUCGGGGGUACACGAGUGGCGAACGGGUGCGUAACACGUGAGUAACCUGCCCUCAUCUCUGGGAUAACAGUCGGAAACGGUUGCUAAUACUGGAUAUGAGCUUGCAAGGCAUCUUGUGGGUUGGAAAGAUUUUUUUGGUUGGGGAUGGACUCGCGGCCUAUCGGGUAGUUGGUGGGGUAGUGGCUCACCAAGGCGACGACGCGUAGCCGGCCUGAGAGGGGGACCGGCCACACGGGAACUGAGACCCGGACCAGACUCGAACGGGAGCCAGAAGUGGGGAAGGUUGGACAAGGGGCGAAAGCCUGAUCCAGCCAGGCCGCGUGUGUGAAGAAGGUCUUCGGAUUGUAAAGCACUUUAAGUUGGGAGGAAGGGCAGUAAGUUAAUACCUUGCUGUUUGGACGUUACCAACAGAAUAGGCACCGGCAAACUCCGG